Molecule: long non-coding RNA, 1123 nt
Filed under: Marmota monax (woodchuck)
Lineage: Eukaryota; Metazoa; Chordata; Mammalia; Rodentia; Sciuridae
Source: RNAcentral
UAAAGAUGCACAAAUAUUAUGACUUGAUUUAAAAUAAGCCAUUCUUACAUAAAAAGAUACUGAUAAAGUUAAAUCCAAAGACAUUUAAAGCAAAGCCAAUUACACACAAUAAGAACAAGAUAAAGGAAACAGAUGAGAGGACAUGAAUGCAAACUGAACUUACAACAGAGAGUAUCCGCCAAGUUGAUGAUUGGCUCUUUGAGAAGACACAAUGUUAGUACACCCCUAAAAAGAUGAGUCACAAAACAUAGGGCACCAGUAACCACCACCAGGAGUGAAGAGGGAUUGUAAACAUGUUAUAAAUAUCAUAUUAUAAAAAAAGCUAGUUGAAAGGUUUAAUGUUUAGAUAAAAUGAACAAAUUGCUAGAAAACCAUAAUUUACUAAACAGGACAUAAAGAAGUAGAACAUCUGAUAACUCAAAUAAAUCAAAUACAUAUUUUUAAGCAUUUUUGGCCCAUAUGGCAUUGCUGAUGAAUUCUAGCAAACACUAAGGGGAUAAAUAAACACCAACUCUAUACAAACUCUUCUAAAACAUUGCACAGGGAAAAAUCUUGCACCUUUUUGAGGCUAAGUUCUGUAUAGAAAUCGAACAAGGAUAUUAUAAGAAAGGAAAAUUAUGGGCUAACAUAUUCCUUGAGAAUAGAUGCAAAAAUCCUAAGGGACACGUUUCUGAACAGAACGCAGCAAUAUAUAAGAAUAACACUACAUGAUGCCCAAGCGGGACUUAUUUUGUAUGUGCAGGGCUGGCUUAAUACUCCAAAAUCUACUAAUGAAAUUCACUUUAUUAAUGGUUCACAGGAAGGUCUCCACAGAUGCAGAAAAGGCAUUUGACACGCCAAUUCAUUUGAGAUAAAUAAGAAAAUCAGGCAUAGAAUGGAAUGUUUCUAAAACAUGUGUGUACUCUUUCUUCCAUUCAUCAGUAAGAUAAAGCCAAACAAACAACAAACAAAUACAGUAGAAGACUGGAAAUGAAGUAAAACUUCUGUAUUAACUGAUGAUACUUGUGGUCAGCCCAGGGGAAGGCUAGAGGGGGCUACUAGGAGGCCCUAGGGGGCUAGCAGCACUCUGUCCUCAUCCAGGGGUGGUUGCCCAGACACAUGCUUUGUGUUAAACCAAAAAAAA